AUCCCUCCUUAUUCUACUUAAUUAGUACUGCUGUCAGGAUCUGGCUCACACCACCCCCAGCAGCUGCAGGAUCGGGGCCAGCCUGACCCAGGAAUGACCUGGUUUUUGCUGGCUCAAGCCCUGGCCUGUGUAGCAGCUGCUGGGUCACUCAUGAGGCUCACCUGGAAACCUGGAGGGAAGACCUAUUUAAGGAGUGGUUCUGCCUUCGAAAAGUUGCCUUAGCCAAAGAUCUUCACCUGUGCCAUACUGGUCUUGAUUACCUGUGUUUCAGUGCCUCUGCCUGCCUCUCCCCCCACCCCACUUGUCUCUGCCAUCUCUAUAUCUGGACUCCAGUGUCCCUGUUCCUGCCUUGGUGCCCUGCUUGCUUCUGCUGGUCUCCUGUAUCUCAAGUUUCUUUUUCUGGCUCCCAGUCUGGUACUCCUGCCUCUGUUUGGUCAUAGCCAGCUACACAUCAGUGUCUUUGGAUUUGAUACCCUGUGUGGUGGACUGGGUCCUGGUGCUCUUGUCCAUGGUGAGAGGCUGCCUGGGAUAUCUUUGACUGUGAGAAGUACCAAUAAUUUUACUGGAUUGAGCACAAUUGCAGAGGAAUCUUCACAGCAGCGGCACAUGCUUUUGACAGCAUCUGGUUGCUAAUCUACCUCUCUGUUAUGAAAGCAGGACUGGGUCUAACUGCUUUCCUGUAUCUUUGCUUCAUGGAACUUAAGUUGAAAAUAAGUUUUUAAAGAAAGCCAUUGAGAUGGCUCACAGUGUCAAAUCUAGAGGCACCAUAGGCACCACAAUGACAUAAUUUGGACUCUUCUGUUUCUCUGACCAAUGAUAACUGCAAGAUGAUACUGUUCAAUCACUGCAGAAUGAGAAACAACCCCUUUUAUGUGGUGCAUCUCUACCUGUUUUCUGCAUCUGUAAAAUGCUGGAAUUUCAGUGGCUCUCCACCCCACCCCCUCCAACUUGCAUAUUAUUAUUCUAAAUGAUAACAAAUGUUGGUAUGACUCACUUUGACCCUGUGAGCUUUAGCCUCUGAGAUUGUAUUUGUUACUCAGUUACAUCUAUAUUGUUAUUCAAGAGAGAAACGUGAGUGCAGGCCCAAGUCAAAGGCAAACCGUCACUAGUUAUUUCGCCAGAGACAGAGAAAUAAGGUUCUAGUAAAUUAAUAAGCAGAUUUUUCCUUUCUUAUAAAGAGUGUUGUGCCCCACUUUUAGGGGAAAGAGGAAUGCUAUUAAUAACCUGUAUUUAAUAUAUGAUUGUGCCUAAUAAAAAUAAAGUUCACUUUGGCGCUGCA
This 1279-nucleotide long non-coding RNA is filed under the name Pogona vitticeps (central bearded dragon). RNAcentral describes it as "lncRNA (ENSPVIG00000022171.1)". The record is from RNAcentral. Lineage: Eukaryota; Metazoa; Chordata; Lepidosauria; Squamata; Agamidae.